GACGAACGCUGGCGGCGUGCUUAACACAUGCAAGUCGAACGGUGAAGCGCCUUCCUUUUUGGUGGGUGUGGAUGAGUGGCGAACGGGUGAGUAACACGUGAGUAACCUGCCCCCUUCGUCUGGAUAACCGCAUGAAAGUGUGGCUAAUACGGGAUAUUCUGGGUCUGUCGCAUGAUGGGUCUGGGAAAGAUAUUGUUUCGGUGGGGGAUGGGCUCGCGGCCUAUCAGCUUGUUGGUGGGGUGAUGGCCUACCAAGGCGGUGACGGGUAGCCGGCCUGAGAGGGUGGACGGUCACACUGGGACUGAGCCACGGCCCCGACUCCUACGGGAGGCAGCAGUGGGGAAUAUUGCACAAUGGGAGCAAGCCUGAUGCAGCGACGCCGCGUGAGGGAUGGAGGCCUUCGGGUUGUGAACCUCUUUCGCCAGUGAAGCAGGCCUGCCUCGUUUGUGGGUGGGUUGACGGUAGCUGGAUAAGAAGCGCCGGCUAACUACGUG
Molecule: ribosomal RNA, 494 nt
Filed under: uncultured bacterium
Lineage: Bacteria
Description: partial 16S ribosomal RNA
Rfam family: Bacterial small subunit ribosomal RNA
Source: RNAcentral